UGGGGAAUAUUGCGCAAUGGGCGAAAGCCUGACGCAGCCACGCCGCGUGAGCGAUGAAGGCCUUCGGGUCGUAAAGCUCUGUGGGGAGAGACGAAGAAAGCCCGUGAAGAGCGGGCCUUGACGGUAUCUCCUUAGCAAGCACCGGCUAACUCCGUGCCAGCAGCCGCGGUAAUACGGAGGGUGCAAACGUUGCUCGGAAUCAUUGGGCGUAAAGCGCACGUAGGCGGCUAGAUAAGUCGGGUGUGAAAGCCCUGGGCUCAACCCAGGAAGUGCAUUCGAAACUGUCUAGCUUGAAUCUCGGAGGGGGUCAGAGAAUUCCCGGUGUAGAGGUGAAAUUCGUAGAUAUCGGGAGGAAUACCAGUGGCGAAGGCGCUGACCUGGACGAAGAUUGACGCUGAGGUGCGAAAGCGCGGGGAGCAAACAGG
This 425-nucleotide ribosomal RNA is filed under the name uncultured bacterium. RNAcentral describes it as "bacterial SSU rRNA". It matches the Rfam family "Bacterial small subunit ribosomal RNA", at positions 355 to 776 of the family's 1533-position model. The record is from RNAcentral.